RNAcentral lists this ribosomal RNA (854 nucleotides) under Salmonella enterica subsp. enterica serovar Oranienburg. RNAcentral describes it as "partial 23S ribosomal RNA". It matches the Rfam family "Bacterial large subunit ribosomal RNA", at positions 416 to 1269 of the family's 2925-position model. Lineage: Bacteria; Pseudomonadati; Pseudomonadota; Gammaproteobacteria; Enterobacterales; Enterobacteriaceae. The record is from RNAcentral.
GGCGGGACACGUGGUAUCCUGUCUGAAUAUGGGGGGACCAUCCUCCAAGGCUAAAUACUCCUGACUGACCGAUAGUGAACCAGUACCGUGAGGGAAAGGCGAAAAGAACCCCGGCGAGGGGAGUGAAAAAGAACCUGAAACCGUGUACGUACAAGCAGUGGGAGCACCCUUUGGGGUGUGACUGCGUACCUUUUGUAUAAUGGGUCAGCGACUUAUAUUCUGUAGCAAGGUUAACCGUAUAGGGGAGCCGGAGGGAAACCGAGUCUUAACCGGGCGUUAAGUUGCAGGGUAUAGACCCGAAACCCGGUGAUCUAGCCAUGGGCAGGUUGAAGGUUGGGUAACACUAACUGGAGGACCGAACCGACUAAUGUUGAAAAAUUAGCGGAUGACCUGUGGCUGGGGGUGAAAGGCCAAUCAAACCGGGAGAUAGCUGGUUCUCCCCGAAAGCUAUUUAGGUAGCGCCUCGUGAAUUCAUCUCCGGGGGUAGAGCACUGUUUCGGCUAGGGGGCCAUCCCGGCUUACCAACCCGAUGCAAACUGCGAAUACCGGAGAAUGUUAUCACGGGAGACACACGGCGGGUGCUAACGUCCGUCGUGAAGAGGGAAACAACCCAGACCGCCAGCUAAGGUCCCAAAGUCAUGGUUAAGUGGGAAACGAUGUGGGAAGGCCCAGACAGCCAGGAUGUUGGCUUAGAAGCAGCCAUCAUUUAAAGAAAGCGUAAUAGCUCACUGGUCGAGUCGGCCUGCGCGGAAGAUGUAACGGGGCUAAACCAUGCACCGAAGCUGCGGCAGCGACGCUUAUGCGUUGUUGGGUAGGGGAGCGUUCUGUAAGCCUGCGAAGGUGGCCUGUGAGGG